Raphanus sativus (radish) is the source of this 816-nucleotide long non-coding RNA. RefSeq lists it as uncharacterized. The transcript has 6 exons. The record is from RefSeq and is a predicted model, not a curated record. NCBI's taxonomy places the organism in Eukaryota, Viridiplantae, Streptophyta, Magnoliopsida, Brassicales, Brassicaceae.
ACAGUCUUUAUUUCCGGCUCUGUGUACUUGCUGGGGAAAUAAAUCUCGAACGUUACAGAAAUCGUUUGAAUUCAAGCGUUGUCUUUAAUACCCUCAUUAGCAUCAACUCUCCACUUUUCACACGAUUUUUAUUGAAUGUAUCCACCGUUAAUUCUACUGUGUGAAUCUGAAUAUAAAUACGUAAGUCCCAAUCCGAGAAAUUCAUCAGUUCAAGGAGAGAGAGGAAGUUAAAGUUGAUUGAGGAUAAUGAUGAGUACGAUGGUGAAGACCUUCUCUUUUCUUGAAUCAAAUACAUUCCACAUAAGUCUAAGGUGAAAACCGCCAAUGAGAUCUUCAGUCCUGGAAUAUCAAGUGCAGAAAUUCAAAGACUAUGAAAAGUUGAAUGAUGCUUACAAGAAGUUCAUAGUGGGACUAUGAAAAGACUCAAGCCAGCUGAUGAGAUACAGGGAGACAAGCGUUAGGAUCACAAAUCAUAUACCCAAAACCGAAUCACUCAUCCAAGUCACAUUUUCCUACCUGUACAAACAGUCAGACAAGCCAAACCAGAUUUUGGUUCUUGGGACAGACUGGGACGCAUAGCAGAGAGGAAUGAAGGAAACAACUCUUCACCUAUAAGAUGGACAACAUUCAAGGUAAUAUAGAAAACCUUCCCUUGUGGUGUGCCUCUUUUUGGCUGGUAAUAUAAAAGCUAGCAUAUUCUUUGAUUGUUUUGUUCCAUUUAAUCAUGUUAUUUGUAUAUAUUUCACGUUGUUGUAGUUGUUACUAUGUAAAAACUGAGAAAGUGAUAUUUGAUGGGAUAUGAGUUACAUGCUUUCA